AUUGAACGCUGGCGGCAUGUCUUACACAUGCAAGUCGAACGGCAGCACGGGGGCAACCCUGGUGGCGAGUGGCGAACGGGUGAGUAAUACAUCGGAACGUGCCCAGUAGUGGGGGAUAGCCCGGCGAAAGCCGGAUUAAUACCGCAUGCGACCUACGGGUGAAAGCGGGGGAUCGCAAGACCUCGCGCUGUUGGAGCGGCCGAUGUCAGAUUAGGUUGUUGGUGGGGUAAAGGCCACCAAGCCGACGAUCUGUAGCUGGUCUGAGAGGACGACCAGCCACACUGGGACUGAGACACGGCCCAGACUCCUACGGGAGGCAGCAGUGGGGAAUUUUGGACAAUGGGGGCAACCCUGAUCCAGCCAUGCCGCGUGCGGGAAG
RNAcentral lists this ribosomal RNA (379 nucleotides) under uncultured bacterium. RNAcentral's name for it is "bacterial SSU rRNA". It matches the Rfam family "Bacterial small subunit ribosomal RNA", at positions 29 to 410 of the family's 1533-position model. The record is from RNAcentral.